Cebus imitator (Panamanian white-faced capuchin) is the source of this 107-nucleotide small nuclear RNA. The record is from RefSeq and is a predicted model, not a curated record. NCBI's taxonomy places the organism in Eukaryota, Metazoa, Chordata, Mammalia, Primates, Cebidae.
GUGCUUACUUCAGCAGCACAUACACUAAAAUCGGAAUAAUACAGAGAAGAUUAGCAUGGCCCCUGUGCAAAGAUGACUGUUGUUUGUUUGUUUGUUUGUUUGUUUGU